This is a non-coding RNA of Megalopta genalis, 873 nucleotides long. Lineage: Eukaryota; Metazoa; Arthropoda; Insecta; Hymenoptera; Halictidae. The record is from RefSeq and is a predicted model, not a curated record.
UAUAUCUUUUUAAUUAUUGCAUAUUCCAACAUAUGAUUUAGUAACACGUUAUUACAAAGUGAUAACAGUGCACGAUAAGAUGAAAAUAAAAUAUGAAAAAAUAGCAUACCAAACAAAAUCUGUUCAUUUGGCAAUAAGUAAAUGUGAAUCUCGAAUAAGGGUUUAUACAUAUGUUGCAUGUCCAACUUUCUCGGAUAACACGGCUUAUAGUUACAUAUACAAUUUAUACAGUGUUUGAUAAGUCGUCCAAACAGUCCCCAACAACAUGAAAUUAUAUUCUAUUGAAGCAAUAAUCAACAGAACAACUGGUGACGACAGUGAUAAAUUUUAUUUAAAUACUUGUUGCAAUGAAACAAAAUGAUUAAGCUGCAAAACCAAAAUAUACAUAGAUAUAAAGGAGAAUGAACUGCGUUCCGGCACGGCGAGUGACAACAAUGGGCAAUGAAACGCACGUCACAUCAAAACGUCCUGCUGCGUUCGAUCCUACGACAACGCUGCGGCUGACUGCGACGCGACCAUAGACCUAUGGACGCGAAAUAGACCCUUCUCAACCCUUCUUCCAUAAAUUUCAAACACCCAAACUGCUUCCUUCUUUUUUAUUUAAAAUCGGCUAUUGACGCAGUAUUUACAACUAGUGUACACUAAAGCGAUCUAUUAUUAUGCUUUUAACUGAAUUUUGACCAAAAUGUAUAACAUAGGCCCUUAUUCGAGAUUCACAUUCAACUGAAUUACAAAAUUAAUUUUUUUUAAUUUAUAUUUAUUACUAUUAUUAUUACUAGAAAUAUUCCGACGUGUUAAUUAAAGAAUUGCAAUGUAGAUUAUGUAUGAAAGUGUGAAAAAUGUUUUAAUCUGAAUAAACACAUUGCUGUUUAA